GACGAACGCUGGCGGCGUGCUUAACACAUGCAAGUCGAACGGAAAGGUCCUGCUUUUGUGGGUUGCUCGUGUGGCGAACGGGUGAGUAACACGCGUGUAUCCUGUACCUGACUUAGGGAUAUAUUCAGGAAAAUGGGGCUCUUACCGGAUAGGAUCUCCUGCUGCAUGUUGGGGGUUGGAAAGUUUCGGCGGUUGGGGAUGUACUCGCGGCUUAUCCGCUUCAUGGUGUGGUAGUGGCUUACCAAGCCUUUGACGGGUAGCCGGCCUGAGAGGGUGGACGGCCACAUUGGGACUGAGAGACGGCCCAGUCUGCUACGGUACGCAGCAGGGGAGAGUAUGGCACAAUGGGCGGAAGCCUGAUGCAGCGACGCCGCGUGCGGGAUAACGGCCUUCGGGUUGUAAACCGCUUUCUCCUGAGACGAAGCGGGAGUGACGGUAAUUAGUAAAGAAGCACCGGCUAACUACGUG
This 468-nucleotide ribosomal RNA is filed under the name uncultured bacterium. RNAcentral describes it as "partial 16S ribosomal RNA". It matches the Rfam family "Bacterial small subunit ribosomal RNA", at positions 28 to 507 of the family's 1533-position model. The record is from RNAcentral.